Molecule: long non-coding RNA, 213 nt
Filed under: Mytilus galloprovincialis (Mediterranean mussel)
Lineage: Eukaryota; Metazoa; Mollusca; Bivalvia; Mytilida; Mytilidae
Source: RNAcentral
CACCUUUAUUAAUUAGUCCUUUGUUGUCGAUAGCUGUAAAUUGCAAUCAGCUGAUAAUUGAUUUUCUGUCAAAAUCUUAAUGAGGUCAUUCAAGGUGAAUUCCGAGUAUUGUCUGAUAAGUUAAAGUCCGAGAAACUCGAAAAAAAAGUAAAUAAACAAGAAGGAGGAAAAUAAAUCUUUCUAUAUAUUUCUUUCGCCAAAUUCUUUAGCAAA